RNAcentral lists this ribosomal RNA (253 nucleotides) under uncultured bacterium. Its description in RNAcentral is "partial 16S ribosomal RNA". It matches the Rfam family "Bacterial small subunit ribosomal RNA", at positions 524 to 776 of the family's 1533-position model. The record is from RNAcentral.
GACAGAGGGGGCAAGCGUUGUCCGGAGUUACUGGGCGUAAAGGGCGCGGAGGCGGUCUGCGGCGUCGGCGCUGAAAGCGCCCCGCUUAACGGGGCGAGGCGUGCCGAUACGCGGAGACUUGAGGCGAGCAGAGGGUGGUGGAAUUCCGGGUGGAGCGGUGAAAUGCGUAGAGAUCCGGAGGAACGCCAGUGGGGAAGCCGGCCACCUGGGCUCGUCCUGACGCUGCGGCGAGACAGCGUGGGGAGCAAACCGG